RNAcentral lists this ribosomal RNA (563 nucleotides) under Bacteroidota bacterium. RNAcentral describes it as "bacterial SSU rRNA". It matches the Rfam family "Bacterial small subunit ribosomal RNA", at positions 1 to 561 of the family's 1533-position model. The record is from RNAcentral. Lineage: Bacteria; Pseudomonadati; Bacteroidota.
ACAAUGAAGAGUUUGAUCCUGGCUCAGGAUGAACGCUAGCGGCAGGCUUAAUACAUGCAAGUCGAACGGUAACAUGGUAGCAAUACUGAUGACGAGUGGCGCACGGGUGCGUAACGCGUAUGCAAUCUACCCAUAACUGGGGGAUAGCCCAGAGAAAUCUGGAUUAAUACCCCAUAAGAUAUUAAAAUGGCAUCAUAAAGAUAUUAAAGAUUAAUUGGUUAUGGAUGAGCAUGCGUAACAUUAGUUAGUUGGUGAGGUAAAGGCUCACCAAGACGAUGAUGUUUAGGGGUUCUGAGAGGAAAAUCCCCCACACUGGUACUGAGACACGGACCAGACUCCUACGGGAGGCAGCAGUAAGGAAUAUUGGUCAAUGGGCGAGAGCCUGAACCAGCCAUGCCGCGUGCAGGAAGACGGCCUUAUGGGUUGUAAACUGCUUUUAUGCCGGAAAAAACCCCUAUACGUGUAUAGGGUUGAUUGUACGGUAAGAAUAAGGAUCGGCUAACUCCGUGCCAGCAGCCGCGGUAAUACGGAGGAUCCGAGCGUUAUCCGGAUUUAUUGGGUUU